GUUGUGAAGAUUUGCAGGCUACUUUGGCAGUUUUAUCGUUAGUCAUUGAUUCCUCAGUGUGACCUCGUGUCUGGAAGAGCUCUUUAAAGCCAGCCAGGUCUUCUAGAGCCUGGGCCUUUUCCUUAGGAGUCUGUAGCUGUCUUUUGCUGCCAGGUAAAGUUCCUGCCAGGUCCAGUUUCUGCACUGGAGUUCCCAUAAAUGCUUUAAU
RNAcentral lists this long non-coding RNA (208 nucleotides) under Homo sapiens (human). RNAcentral's name for it is "HSALNT0169902". Lineage: Eukaryota; Metazoa; Chordata; Mammalia; Primates; Hominidae. The record is from RNAcentral.